AUAAUUACCUGGCAGGGGAGAUACCAUGAUCACAAAGGUCAUUUUUCCCAGGACGAGGCUUAACCAUUGCACUCCUGAUGUGUACUGAUCCCUGUGAUUUUCACAAACGUGAGAAACUCAACCGUAUAAUUGGUGGUAGUGGGGGAACUGUGUUUGUGCUUUCCCUUA
This 168-nucleotide small nuclear RNA is filed under the name Neotoma lepida (desert woodrat). RNAcentral describes it as "U1 spliceosomal RNA". It matches the Rfam family "U1 spliceosomal RNA". Rfam says of the family: U1 is a small nuclear RNA (snRNA) component of the spliceosome (involved in pre-mRNA splicing). Its 5' end forms complementary base pairs with the 5' splice junction, thus defining the 5' donor site of an intron. There are significant differences in sequence and secondary structure between metazoan and yeast U1 snRNAs, the latter being much longer (568 nucleotides as compared to 164 nucleotides in human). The record is from Rfam by way of RNAcentral. Lineage: Eukaryota; Metazoa; Chordata; Mammalia; Rodentia; Cricetidae.